RNAcentral lists this transfer RNA (72 nucleotides) under Dremomys gularis (red-throated squirrel). RNAcentral's name for it is "tRNA-Val". Lineage: Eukaryota; Metazoa; Chordata; Mammalia; Rodentia; Sciuridae. The record is from RNAcentral.
UCAGGACGUAGCUUAACCACUCAAAGCAUCCGGCNUACACCCGGAAGACUUCGUAUCGUCCGAACGCCCUGA